UUAUUGACCACUUCGCCAUGAAGACCAGGAGGGCAGAAUUUAACUACAAGGUGAAAGAUAGGUUAGGCAUGUUUUCUUGUGGCCUACCAAGGUGGUUACUUCACUUAUGCUUUUAAAUGUUAAGGUAAUAAAAAAGGGACGAUUUAACAAUACAGCUGUGACCAGCAACAAUGUAUUCAUUGAAGUAAACAAUACAGUACCUCGUAAAUAACCUAUGUAUCAUCUUUACAAUAACUUAUGUUAUUUCAUAUUUUGUAGUAAUUUAACCCUAAUUGUCUGGAGGGAAGAACAGGAGAGAGAGGACAUCAGAAUACAGUACAGCAGGAAUUGGAGGUGAACAGUUUAGGGAAAGAAAAGGUAGGCUUAAUGUCUUUCCUUUCCAGUUAUGUUACCCAGGGGUGGGGGGUUAAGUGUGCGCUCGUUUCGGUGCGUUGGAUCGACGGGGUUUGCUUCACCAAAAAUGUUGACCACCAAACGCCACUGAUAGGUAAGUAUCUUAUUCAACUUUAAAUCUUACGUUCAGUAUGUUCAGUGCAAUUCAAAAUGUUGGAUUCAACAUAAUGAUUAAGGCCUCACUCACUUUUUCAUUGUAAUAUUUAUAAUAUCAUACAGAGGUUAUAUCUGAUAGGUCUACUAGAUGAAUAGCUCAGACCAUCCCUACUUCUUCUUCUGGUAUUUGGGGAUUUGACCAACCAGGCAACUGACCAAUCCCAAGGAGUCAACUUAAUUUCAGUUCAUGUUUGAGACCCCAGUGAUCUUGAUUGAUUAGUAAGGGACAAAAGGGUCAAUUGGCUUUUGAGAAGACACCCACCGCACGCGGUUAGACAGCAUUCACACUGUGUGCUCUUCAAGAGAGGCUUAACGAUGCUUGGAUCUUAGAAAACGAAAAAAUAAGGACUAGUAAGGUUUUUUCAUAAGGUUUCGCCGAAUCUCUGCCAUGCCACGAAGGUCAGCCGGUCAUUCCUCAAUGCAUUGCUUUGAGGAAUGAGGAAAUUCAUUCUUUUGGGGAAAAUAAUUAAGACCCAAUUGUGGCUGGGAGUAACGAAUAGUUUAGGAGUUCAAAGUUCAGAGUCAUCCAAAUGAUACCUGAAGACAAGCAGGAUUUUUUAUAAGGGACCAAUAGCAUCGCUCAUAUCUUUAACAUCGCUCAUUUCUUUCAGUCGGCCUAUCUUGAACCAGAUGCAGAGAUCUGCCUCUACUGCCCAUACGAGGACUGUGACACCAUCAAAUGUCAUUGAGUGAAGUAUUCCCCACAGAGGUGCAAUGCAUGUGAUUGAGUGAGUUCAAUAGGGGUGGAUUUUUUCUGUAUGUUGUGUAUGAGCUCACCAAAUAAUAUUUUUCUUUUCUGCUAUGGAUGCUAUUUUGGAGUUGUGUCUUCUCUUGAGUAUGAAAGAUAACUUUCUCUGCAUCGGCCCCGUGGAUAUGUGAAGAACCAUCAUAUCUUCCAAAGUAGGCCAACACUCUUUCAAGUAAGAUUACAAGCAUGUAGUAGGCUACUGUUUAUAUCGGUUGGGUUGCAAAACUGUUGAACAAUAUUUAAAUUAAGGUUCUGCUUCACACACACACACACACACACACACACACACACACACACACACACACACACACACACACACACACACACACACACACACACACACACACACACACACACA
Long non-coding RNA from Gadus macrocephalus (Pacific cod), 1655 nucleotides. RefSeq lists it as uncharacterized. The transcript has 2 exons. The record is from RefSeq and is a predicted model, not a curated record. NCBI's taxonomy places the organism in Eukaryota, Metazoa, Chordata, Actinopteri, Gadiformes, Gadidae.